AAUCCAUAGGUUAAUGAGGCGAACCGGGGGAACUGAAACAUCUAAGUACCCCGAGGAAAAGAAAUCAACCGAGAUUCCCCCAGUAGCGGCGAGCGAACGGGGAGGAGCCCAGAGCCUGAAUCAGCAUGUGUGUUAGUGGAAGCGUCUGGAAAGGCGCGCGAUACAGGGUGACAGCCCCGUACACAAAAGCGCAUGUGCUGUGAGCUCGAUGAGUAGGGCGGGACACGUGGUAUCCUGUCUGAAUAUGGGGGGACCAUCCUCCAAGGCUAAAUACUCCUGACUGACCGAUAGUGAACCAGUACCGUGAGGGAAAGGCGAAAAGAACCCCGGCGAGGGGAGUGAAAAAGAACCUGAAACCGUGUACGUACAAGCAGUGGGAGCACCCUUUGGGUGUGACUGCGUACCUUUUGUAUAAUGGGUCAGCGACUUAUAUUCUGUAGCAAGGUUAACCGAAUAGGGGAGCCGGAGGGAAACCGAGUCUUAACCGGGCGUUAAGUUGCAGGGUAUAGACCCGAAACCCGGUGAUCUAGCCAUGGGCAGGUUGAAGGUUGGGUAACACUAACUGGAGGACCGAACCGACUAAUGUUGAAAAAUUAGCGGAUGACCUGUGGCUGGGGGUGAAAGGCCAAUCAAACCGGGAGAUAGCUGGUUCUCCCCGAAAGCUAUUUAGGUAGCGCCUCGUGAAUUCAUCUCCGGGGGUAGAGCACUGUUUCGGCUAGGGGGCCAUCCCGGCUUACCAACCCGAUGCAAACUGCGAAUACCGGAGAAUGUUAUCACGGGAGACACACGGCGGGUGCUAACGUCCGUCGUGAAGAGGGAAACAACCCAGACCGCCAGCUAAGGUCCCAAAGUCAUGGUUAAGUGGGAAACGAUGUGGGAAGGCCCAGACAGCCAGGAUGUUGGCUUAGAAGCAGCCAUCAUUUAAAGAAAGCGUAAUAGCUCACUGGUCGAGUCGGCCUGCGCGGAAGAUGUAACGGGGCUAAACCAUGCACCGAAGCUGCGGCAGCGACACUGUGUGUUGUUGGGUAGGGGAGCGUUCUGUAAGCCUGCGAAGGUGGCCUGUGAGGGUUGCUGGAGGUAUCAGAAGUGCGAAUGCUGACAUAAGUAACGAUAAAGCGGGUGAAAAGCCCGCUCGCCGGAAGACCAAGGGUUCCUGUCCAACGUUAAUCGGGGCAGGGUGAGUCGACCCCUAAGGCGAGGCCGAAAGGCGUAGUCGAUGGGAAACGGGUUAAUAUUCCCGUACUUGGUGUUACUGCGAAGGGGGGACGGAGAAGGCUAUGUUGGCCGGGCGACGGUUGUCCCGGUUUAAGCGUGUAGGUGUGUGUUCCAGGUAAAUCCGGUUCACUUUAACACUGAGGCGUGACGACGAGGCACUACGGUGCUGAAGCAACAAAUGCCCUGCUUCCAGGAAAAGCCUCUAAGCAUCAGGUAACAUCAAAUCGUACCCCAAACCGACACAGGUGGUCAGGUAGAGAAUACCAAGGCGCUUGAGAGAACUCGGGUGAAGGAACUAGGCAAAAUGGUGCCGUAACUUCGGGAGAAGGCACGCUGACACGUAGGUGAAGUGAUUUACUCAUGGAGCUGAAGUCAGUCGAAGAUACCAGCUGGCUGCAACUGUUUAUUAAAAACACAGCACUGUGCAAACACGAAAGUGGACGUAUACGGUGUGACGCCUGCCCGGUGCCGGAAGGUUAAUUGAUGGGGUCAGCGCAAGCGAAGCUCCUGAUCGAAGCCCCGGUAAACGGCGGCCGUAACUAUAACGGUCCUAAGGUAGCGAAAUUCCUUGUCGGGUAAGUUCCGACCUGCACGAAUGGCGUAAUGAUGGCCAGGCUGUCUCCACCCGAGACUCAGUGAAAUUGAACUCGCUGUGAAGAUGCAGUGUACCCGCGGCAAGACGGAAAGACCCCGUGAACCUUUACUAUAGCUUGACACUGAACAUUGAGCCUUGAUGUGUAGGAUAGGUGGGAGGCUUUGAAGUGUGGACGCCAGUCUGCAUGGAGCCGACCUUGAAAUACCACCCUUUAAUGUUUGAUGUUCUAACGUGGACCCGUUACCCGGGUUGCGGACAGUGUCUGGUGGGUAGUUUGACUGGGGCGGUCUCCUCCUAAAGAGUAACGGAGGAGCACGAAGGUUGGCUAAUCCUGGUCGGACAUCAGGAGGUUAGUGCAAUGGCAUAAGCCAGCUUGACUGCGAGCGUGACGGCGCGAGCAGGUGCGAAAGCAGGUCAUAGUGAUCCGGUGGUUCUGAAUGGAAGGGCCAUCGCUCAACGGAUAAAAGGUACUCCGGGGAUAACAGGCUGAUACCGCCCAAGAGUUCAUAUCGACGGCGGUGUUUGGCACCUCGAUGUCGGCUCAUCACAUCCUGGGGCUGAAGUAGGUCCCAAGGGUAUGGCUGUUCGCCAUUUAAAGUGGUACGCGAGCUGGGUUUAGAACGUCGUGAGACAGUUCGGUCCCUAUCUGCCGUGGGCGCUGGAGAACUGAGGGGGGCUGCUCCUAGUACGAGAGGACCGGAGUGGACGCAUCACUGGUGUUCGGGUUGUCAUGCCAAUGGCACUGCCCGGUAGCUAAAUGCGGAAGAGAUAAGUGCUGAAAGCAUCUAAGCACGAAACUUGCCCCGAGAUGAGUUCUCCCUGAGACUUAAAGUCUCCUGAAGGAACGUUGAAGACGACGACGUUGAUAGGCCGGGUGUGUAAG
This 2693-nucleotide ribosomal RNA is filed under the name Salmonella enterica subsp. enterica serovar Enteritidis. RNAcentral describes it as "partial 23S ribosomal RNA". It matches the Rfam family "Bacterial large subunit ribosomal RNA". The record is from RNAcentral. Lineage: Bacteria; Pseudomonadati; Pseudomonadota; Gammaproteobacteria; Enterobacterales; Enterobacteriaceae.